UACGGAGGGGGCUAGCGUUGUUCGGAAUUACUGGGCGUAAAGCGCGCGUAGGCGGCUUUGUAAGUUAGAGGUGAAAGCCCGAAGCUCAACUUCGGGAUUGCCUUUAAGACUGCAUCGCUAGAAUUGUGGAGAGGUAAGUGGAAUUCCGAGUGUAGAGGUGAAAUUCGUAGAUAUUCGGAAGAACACCAGUGGCGAAGGCGACUUACUGGACACAUAUUGACGCUGAGGCGCGAAAGCGUGGGGAGCAAACAGG
This 253-nucleotide ribosomal RNA is filed under the name uncultured bacterium. RNAcentral describes it as "partial 16S ribosomal RNA". It matches the Rfam family "Bacterial small subunit ribosomal RNA", at positions 524 to 776 of the family's 1533-position model. The record is from RNAcentral.